GCAUGGCCGAUCCACACACACACACACACACAGAGACUGCUGGCGUCGCGGAGGCGACGAGGCGGCGGCGCGAGGUGACGCGUGCCAGCGCAGCACAGUACCGACGGCGACCCCCUCCGCCGCCCUCUCUUCCUUCCCCUCUCCCGGUAAGCGCCGCCCUCCUAGCUUCCCCUCACCGGCGGCCAGCGUGGGAGAAGAGGACGAGCGCGACCUCGGCGUCGCAGAGGAUGGAGAGCUCGUACGCCUUCUUGAGCAGGCCGUUCCGGCGCUUGGAGAACAAGAUCUUAGUCUCGAUCCGCUGCAGCACCACCUUCCCGCGCCCCAUGGCCUGUCCUUCCGAUCGAUCUCAGAGACUCACACCCUUCUUGGUUCGCCAGUCGUCGUCGGAGCGGAACCCACCGCCGUCGGACCGCAGGAUCAGCGGGAGCUCAUGACCCUUCCUGCUGCCGCAGCAUCACCAGUCGUCGUUGGAGCGGUGGCGUAGGAUGACGACGCCGCGGCCUUGACGCCGUCCAUGUGGAUCACGGUCGCGGGCUCGCUCAUCUUCUUUUCUUUUGGAUUGUUUGAUGCCGGACAAUCUUUGAAUGCUCUGUCGUCCGUGCUGUAUUGGAUGAGAGCAAUCCAAGCAAAUUUAUACCUGAAGAAACAGGGGAAUUGCUUCGCGCUGAUUAGCUUGUUUUUUGAUUCGUGCAUUGCAGGAGUGGUUGAUCCUCCAAUUCCUGGUCCUGCACCAUCAUGCUGGAAUUGCUCCUCUUCCUUUCUAACUGCUCUCCAACUUUUUGAGUGCUGAUUUGGGAAUUAGUUCUAAUUGGCACUUCCGUGCAGAAAGUCAUUACCUGUGAAUAAAUGCAAGCGAAAAGGGAGAAAAAGGAGUAGCUGCAUGUCUAUUUUUAUUAAGUCUGUCAGUGGAGAUUGCCACUGCAAUUUUUAUUAACUCGAGAAGAUUGCUUGGCUAACUCUUUCAGAAGCUGUUAGACAAAUCCUAGUGCCAAUUGGUACGAAGUUUUGCUAAGCAUUAUUGAUUUGUCCUGUGAACUCUUGUAGCUUGUUAACUGCUAGUACGUUUGAGCAAAGGUUGGUCUGAAUAUUUACAGGUUCAAAUAUUGCAAUGAUUCAUACAACUGUAAUUCUGCUAGCAGUUCAACUUAGAGCCGUAUUGCGGUUGCAAAUAGUGUCCAAUAUCUUCAUGAUUGUUAAAACGAUGAUUGCGGUUGCAAGUUGUCUACCAUUCUUUUCCUAAUCAAUAUUUUAAAACAAAAGAUAAAUUUAUAGUCCUAUCUCCAUAUUGUAUGAAUCAUUAUGCUUUCACAUUGCUUGUCCGAUAGUUGGAGAAAUUUCAAAAUUCUCCAUAACCAGCUAUUACUGGUAUUUGCAGGGAUGGAAAGUGUUGCGGAUAGGAGAUGUCUCAAGUUUGCUGAGCCCAAGUGCAUGGGUACAGAAGCUCAGACAGGGCAGGGAAUAAUCUGAAUUCAGAAGCUCUUGGUGAUCAAAUGAGUCUCUGAACCCCAGCUUGGGCCGGAAGCUAUGUACUCUCUAGCCUGUGUUCUUUAGCAGCAAUUAUAGUAGUCUGUAGUAGCAUGGGGAUUUUCUCUUUUUCGUCGAACGUUGUAGUUGAUGUAGUGGUUAUGAAUUUCCGUUCUGCUCAGCAUUGUGAUUGUGUACUCUGUUUCUUUCACCUGAACAAGCUUUUCUUCUUCUAUCGGGCACGCAUACUCCUGUGUAACUUCCAGUCCAGCUGAACACAGUUUUGUGGGAAUGGAAUGGUUCAAUGACAGGAUUUGAACCA
Panicum hallii is the source of this 1786-nucleotide long non-coding RNA. RefSeq lists it as uncharacterized. The transcript is spliced from 2 exons. Lineage: Eukaryota; Viridiplantae; Streptophyta; Magnoliopsida; Poales; Poaceae. The record is from RefSeq and is a predicted model, not a curated record.